AGGGGAGUAGCUCAAUUGGCAGAGUACCGGUCUCCAAAACCGGAUGUUGAGGGUUCAAAUCCCCCCUCCCCUG
This 73-nucleotide transfer RNA is filed under the name Lentisphaerota bacterium. Its description in RNAcentral is "Lentisphaerae bacterium (groundwater metagenome) tRNA-Trp". It matches the Rfam family "tRNA". Rfam says of the family: Transfer RNA (tRNA) molecules are approximately 80 nucleotides in length. Their secondary structure includes four short double-helical elements and three loops (D, anti-codon, and T loops). The record is from RNAcentral. Lineage: Bacteria; Pseudomonadati; Lentisphaerota.